AGGUUUUCGGAUCGUAAAACUCGUGUUGUUAGGGAAGAACAAGUACCGUUCGAAUAGGGCGGUACCUUGACGGUACCUAACCAGAAAGCCACGGCUAACUACGUGCCAGCAGCCGCGGUAAUACGUAGGUGGCAAGCGUUGUCCGGAAUUAUUGGGCGUAAAGCGCGCGCAGGCGGUUUCUUAAGUCUGAUGUGAAAGCCCCCGGCUCAACCGGGGAGGGUCAUUGGAAACUGGGGAACUUGAGUGCAGAAGAGGAGAGUGGAAUUCCACGUGUAGCGGUGAAAUGCGUAGAGAUGUGGAGGAACACCAGUGGCGAAGGCGACUCUCUGGUCUGUAACUGACGCUGAGGCGCGAAAGCGUGGGGAGCGAACAGGAUUAGAUACCCUGGUAGUCCACGCCGUAAACGAUGAGUGCUAAGUGUUAGAGGGUUUCCGCCCUUUAGUGCUGCAGCAAACGCAUUAAGCACUCCGCCUGGGGAGUACGGUCGCAAGACUGAAACUCAAAGGAAUUGACGGGGGCCCGCACAAGCGGUGGAGCAUGUGGUUUAAUUCGAAGCAACGCGAAGAACCUUACCAGGUCUUGACAUCCUCUGACAACCCUAGAGAUAGGGCUUCCCCUUCGGGGGCAGAGUGACAGGUGGUGCAUGGUUGUCGUCAGCUCGUGUCGUGAGAUGUUGGGUUAAGUCCCGCAACGAGCGCAACCCUUUGAUCUUUAGUUGCCAGCAUUCAGUUGGGCACUCUAAGGUGACUGCCGGGUGACAAACCGGAGGAAGGGUGGGGGAUGACGUCAAAUCAUCAUGCCCUCUUUAUGACGCUGGGCUACACACGUGCUACAAU
Molecule: ribosomal RNA, 836 nt
Filed under: Bacillus licheniformis
Lineage: Bacteria; Bacillati; Bacillota; Bacilli; Caryophanales; Bacillaceae
Description: bacterial SSU rRNA
Rfam family: Bacterial small subunit ribosomal RNA
Source: RNAcentral